CAGAGCCAGAAGCCAUGAUCGAGGAGGAGCUAGCUCUGUAGUCUCUAUGGGUUUCUUGAUCACCCCUGUCCAAUAAAUAAAUACAACAAGGCACAAGGUAAAAAGACAGGUACUGCGAAAGUCAGAUGAUUUGGAACAAUAAGCACAUUGUUGAGCAGUGCAAGGGAGGCUUUUGCUACUAAUGGUAUUGGUACCCAAAAGCUCAAAAGAUGAAACUCAUGGAGAAAGAUGACAGAUCAACAGUCAAGAGAAAAGAUGAAAGGCAAGUUAUAUCAAGUAUGAACCCAAAAUCUCAAUCACUAUUGCCUAGGUAAGUAUAGGAGUAGUAUAGUUUGAAACACUUUGCUUCUUCAGGAAUGGGUGUGCAAUGGUAAUAUCUUUUGGGCUGUGGACAAUGGACAGGACAUGGUGUACAGCAAGUUGGAGAUACUUGACAGCUUUCCUUUGCUUCCAUAGCUAGUGCAUGAUGUAAAAUGUGGCAAGAUGAUGUAAGCAAGAAAUAAAUGAACUGCAGUUCUUUUCUGAUUU
Long non-coding RNA from Brachypodium distachyon (stiff brome), 528 nucleotides. RefSeq lists it as uncharacterized. NCBI's taxonomy places the organism in Eukaryota, Viridiplantae, Streptophyta, Magnoliopsida, Poales, Poaceae. The record is from RefSeq and is a predicted model, not a curated record. The transcript has 2 exons.